UGAAGGCCCAGGAGUUCAAAUCCAGCCUGGGCAACACAAUGAGACCCUGUCUUAAAAAAAAAAAAAAAUCAGCAAGCUGGGAAAUAAACUUGGGGCACACUGGGCACUUCGUCAUGAGGAAACCAAAAUCUCCUGCCUUGGCAAGCUUCAGGAGCCAUAUAAGGACUGAGCCAGCCUCACCCAUUACACUGUGUAGGGACACUCUUCAGCAACGACAUCAUGUGGCAGAAGAAAACAUGGCCAUAGGGGAUUCCUUCAUUGUGCAAUUACCUAUAAGAAGAAGAAAAGGAAGAAAAGAGGAAGAAGAACGAGGAGGAGGAGGAGGUCUAAAAAGGAAAUGCUUAAAUUCUUGCUGAAAGGAGUGGGAAGAAGAGGGAGCUUGGAGAAGCUUUGAGCAGGUCCUGAAUAGGCAAGUGAGGGGCUUGCCUUAACCCUACAGGAUUCUCAGUCUCCACGUCUACCUCCCACAACAUGUGCAAAUGCUUACAUUCAUGGUGGGUUUCUCCCUCUCCCUUGGAUCCCCAAAGCAGCAAGAGCUGGUGUGGAGCACUCCCCAGUCUAGGCUGGGGGACGCAAGGAGAAGCCAUCCUCACAGCAGUCUCUUCCUGAGAGAUGCUAAGGCGGUGGAGAGACUGCAUAAUGUGCCUUUCCAGGGGGUGUUUCUCUCUAUUGAUUAUUUGAACUGUUAAACUUGAUUACAUUUUACUUUAAUUGUACCAUUUGAAAUUAGAUUCAGGUAAGAUUUCAAACUUAUUAAAUAAAUGGCCCAUAGGACA
RNAcentral lists this long non-coding RNA (776 nucleotides) under Homo sapiens (human). RNAcentral's name for it is "HSALNT0368976". The record is from RNAcentral. Lineage: Eukaryota; Metazoa; Chordata; Mammalia; Primates; Hominidae.